UAACUUAAGCAUAUCAAUAAGCGGAGGAAAAGAAACCAACAGGGAUUGCCUCAGUAACGGCGAGUGAAGCGGCAAGAGCUCAACUUUGGAAUCGCUCCGGCGAGUUGUAGUCUGGAGGUGGCCACCACGAGGUGUUCUAGCAGCAGGCAAGUCCUUUGGAACAAGGCGCCAGCGAGGGUGACAGCCCCGUACCUGCUUUUGCUAGUGCUUCCUGUGGCCCACCGACGAGUCGAGUUGUUUGGGAAUGCAGCUCUAAGUGGGUGGUAAAUUCCAUCUAAGGCUAAAUAUUGGCGAGAGACCGAUAGCGAACAAGUACAGUGAUGGAAAGAUGAAAAGCACUUUGAAAAGAGAGUGAAACAGUACGUGAAAUUGUUGAAAGGGAAGGGCUUGCACCCAGACACGGUUUCGGCCGGGCCAGCAUCAAGUAGAACGGGGUUAAAAGACCUGGGGAAUGUAGCUACCUCUUGGUAGUGUUAUAGCCCUUGGGUGAUGACCCCUGUUUUGCUUGAGGACAGCGGUCUCUAGGAUGCUGGCGCAAUGGUUGCAAGCCACCCGUCUUG
Molecule: ribosomal RNA, 560 nt
Filed under: Candidozyma auris
Lineage: Eukaryota; Fungi; Ascomycota; Pichiomycetes; Serinales; Metschnikowiaceae
Description: LSU rRNA
Rfam family: Eukaryotic large subunit ribosomal RNA
Source: RNAcentral